GAUGAACGCUAGCGGCAGGCCUAACACAUGCAAGUCGAGGGGCAGCGGGGGUAGCAAUACCUGCCGGCGACCGGCGCACGGGUGAGUAACACGUAUGCAAUCUGCCCUCCUCUGGGGAAUAACCCGGAGAAAUCAGGACUAAUCCCCCAUGGCGCGUUUGGGUGGCAUCACCGAACCGCUAAAGACUUAUCGGACGAGGAUGGGCAUGCGUCCUCUUAGCUAGAUGGCGGGGUAACGGCCCACCAUGGCGACGAUAGGUAGGGGUUCUGAGAGGAAGGUCCCCCACAGUGGUACUGAGACACGGACCAGACUCCUACGGGAGGCAGCAGUGAGGAAUAUUGGUCAAUGGGCGAGAGCCUGAACCAGCCAUGCCGCGUGCAGGAUGACGGCCCUACGGGUUGUAAACUGCUUUUAUCAGAGGGCAAACCCCUCCUUGCGAGGAGGGUUGGGAGUAUCUGAAGAAUAAGGAUCGGCUAACUCCGUGCCAGCCGCCGCCGUAA
RNAcentral lists this ribosomal RNA (500 nucleotides) under uncultured bacterium. RNAcentral's name for it is "partial 16S ribosomal RNA". It matches the Rfam family "Bacterial small subunit ribosomal RNA", at positions 28 to 523 of the family's 1533-position model. The record is from RNAcentral.